CUUUCCCCUCAGAUUGCUCAUUUCAAGAUCCCACGCUAUGUAACAUUUGUGAAUGACUAUCCGCUCACAGUUUCAGGAAAGAUCCAGAAGAACAAACUGCGUGUGCAGACAGAGAAGUUUCUGGCACUGUGAAGGUCUGUGAAGUAAGGAGAGAAAGUCGGGCUAGACAUGGUGGCUCAUAUCUCCGACGCAUGGCAUAUGUUUUCGCUCCACUCUGCUAAAGCACCUGCUGAAAUCAGUCAUUAUGGCUGAAUUUAUACAGGCAGCCCAAUUCUUAUCUUUUAUCCACUAAUAUUUUUUUUAAAGAGCUAAUGUGAAAAGAUCUGAUGUGAUUGGUCAAAAGACCAAUAAUUGGAAAAGAUAUCUAAAUUGGGCAGCCUAAGGGCUGAAGAUCCACUUCACAGAGCGAUUGACAAUUAAAGGCAAUGUUCCCGCAGUCACGGAGGCUGCAUUCACGGUAAACACAGAAAUGACCUUUCAAUUUUAAAUGUGGAUCUUCCACGAUAUGGAUUGAAUGCAGCCUUAAGUGCCAUCAUUUGUGCCUUGUUUAGUGCAAACCUUUUUGCAGAACCCAUUGGACUAAUGCUAUGUUUUAGCAGGCACAGUUUAACAGGAAAGCGAAGCCAUGUACAGCAGUCAGCUAAACACUGACAGCCAAAUGAUUUUACUGUAUUUCUAGGACCGAUCAUGUAAUUCUAACAGCCUUGAAACCACCUCAUCAAUCUGUGACUCGGAGCUCUAUUCAGUCUGUAAAAUUGAAGCGUUACAGAUUCCGUGAUUUAUCAAAUCUAAAAGGUCAUUUCCAAUUGAGCCGACAUCUGCAGGGUUUAACGCUGAAGAGGGAACAUUGCCUUUACAUUUACAUUUAACAUUUACAUUUAAGUCAUUUAGCAGACGCUCUUAUCCAGAGCGACUUACAAAUUGGUGCUUUCACCUUAUGACAUCCAGUGGAACAGCCACUUUACAAUAGUGCAUCUAGGUCUUUUAAGGGGGGGGGGGAGGGAGGGAGAAGGAUUACUUUAUCCUAUCCUAGGUAUUCCUAGGUAUUCCCAUUUGAGUGAAGCUGUACUUCAGCGACGCAGAUCGAAUAGCGUCCUUAUAUUACAGCUGCCUAUAUGUCAAAAUAAAAAACAUGUACCUUACCAUUCAAA
Long non-coding RNA from Oncorhynchus nerka (sockeye salmon), 1151 nucleotides. RefSeq lists it as uncharacterized. Lineage: Eukaryota; Metazoa; Chordata; Actinopteri; Salmoniformes; Salmonidae. The transcript is spliced from 2 exons. The record is from RefSeq and is a predicted model, not a curated record.